UACGAAGGGACCUAGCGUAGUUCGGAAUUACUGGGCUUAAAGAGUUCGUAGGUGGUUGAAAAAGUUAGUGGUGAAAUCCCAGAGCUUAACUCUGGAACUGCCAUUAAAACUUUUCAGCUAGAGUAUGAUAGAGGAAAGCAGAAUUUCUAGUGUAGAGGUGAAAUUCGUAGAUAUUAGAAAGAAUACCAAUUGCGAAGGCAGCUUUCUGGAUCAUUACUGACACUGAGGAACGAAAGCAUGGGUAGCGAAGAGGAUUAGAUACCCUCGUAGUCCAUGCCGUAAACGAUGUGUGUUAGACGUUGGAAAUUUAUUUUCAGUGUCGCAGGGAAACCGAUAAACACACCGCCUGGGGAGUACGACCGCAAGGUAAAAACUCAAAUGAAUUGACGGGGACCCGCACAAGUAGUGGAGCAUGUGGUUUAAUUCGAAGAUACGCGCAGAACCUUACCAACACUUGACAUGUUCGUCGCGACUCUAAGAGAUUAGAGUUUUCGGUUCGGCCGGACGAAACACAGGUGCUGCAUGGCUGUCGUCAGCUCGUGUCGUGAGAUGUUGGGUUAAGUCCCGCAACGAGCGCAACCCUCACUUUUAGUUGCCAUCAUUAAGUUGGGCACUCUGAAAGAACUGCCAGUGAUAAGCUGGAGGAAGGUGGGGAUGACGUCAAGUCCUCAUGGCCCUUACGUGUUGGGCUACACACGUGCUACAAUGGUAUCUACAACAGGAAGCAAGACUGCGAAGUUUAGCAAAUCCCUAAAAGAUACCUCAGUUCGGAUUGCACUCUGCAACUCGAGUGCAUGAAGCUGGAAUUACUAGUAAUCGUGGAUCAGCGUGCCACGGUGAAUGCGUUCCCGGGUCU
Molecule: ribosomal RNA, 856 nt
Filed under: uncultured bacterium
Lineage: Bacteria
Description: SSU rRNA
Rfam family: Bacterial small subunit ribosomal RNA
Source: RNAcentral